Molecule: ribosomal RNA, 2906 nt
Filed under: Escherichia coli
Lineage: Bacteria; Pseudomonadati; Pseudomonadota; Gammaproteobacteria; Enterobacterales; Enterobacteriaceae
Also listed under: 1 other name
Description: bacterial LSU rRNA
Rfam family: Bacterial large subunit ribosomal RNA
Source: RNAcentral
UUAAGUGACUAAGCGUACACGGUGGAUGCCUAGGCAGUCAGAGGCGAUGAAGGGCGUGCUAAUCUGCGAAAAGCGUCGGUAAGGUGAUAUGAACCGUUACAACCGGCGAUACCCGAAUGGGGAAACCCAGUGUGUUUCGACACACUAUCAUGUCAUGAAUACAUAGUGGCAUGAGGCGAACCGGGGGAACUGAAACAUCUAAGUACCCCGAGGAAAAGAAAUCAACCGAGAUUCCCCCAGUAGCGGCGAGCGAACGGGGAGGAGCCCAGAACCUGAAUCGGCUUGUGUGUUAGUGGAAGCGUCUGGAAAGUCGCGCAGCAAAGGGUGAUAGCCCCGUACACUAAAAUGCACAGGUCGUGAGUUCGAUGAGUAGGGCGGGACACGUGACAUCCUGUCUGAAUAUGGGGGGACCAUCCUCCAAGGCUAAAUACUCCUGACUGACCGAUAGUGAACCAGUACCGUGAGGGAAAGGCGAAAAGAACCCCGGCGAGGGGAGUGAAAUAGAACCUGAAACCGUGUACGUACAAGCAGUGGGAGCACCUUCGUGGUGUGACUGCGUACCUUUUGUAUAAUGGGUCAGCGACUUAUAUUUUGUAGCAAGGUUAACCGUAUAGGGGAGCCGUAGGGAAACCGAGUCUUAACUGGGCGAAUAGUUGCAAGGUAUAGACCCGAAACCCGGUGAUCUAGCCAUGGGCAGGUUGAAGGUUGGGUAACACUAACUGGAGGACCGAACCGACUAAUGUUGAAAAAUUAGCGGAUGACUUGUGGCUGGGGGUGAAAGGCCAAUCAAACCGGGAGAUAGCUGGUUCUCCCCGAAAGCUAUUUAGGUAGCGCCUCGUGAACUCAUCUUCGGGGGUAGAGCACUGUUUCGGCUAGGGGGCCAUCCCGGCUUACCAAACCGAUGCAAACUCCGAAUACCGAAGAAUGUUAUCACGGGAGACACACGGCGGGUGCUAACGUCCGUCGUGAAGAGGGAAACAACCCAGACCGCCAGCUAAGGUCCCAAAGUCAUGGUUAAGUGGGAAACGAUGUGGGAAGGCAUAGACAGCCAGGAUGUUGGCUUAGAAGCAGCCAUCAUUUAAAGAAAGCGUAAUAGCUCACUGGUCGAGUCGGCCUGCGCGGAAGAUGUAACGGGGCUAAACCAUGCACCGAAGCUGCGGCAGCGACGCUUAGGCGUUGUUGGGUAGGGGAGCGUUCUGUAAGCCGUUGAAGGUGGCCUGUGAGGGUUGCUGGAGGUAUCAGAAGUGCGAAUGCUGACAUAAGUAACGAUAAAGCGGGUGAAAAGCCCGCUCGCCGGAAGACCAAGGGUUCCUGUCCAACGUUAAUCGGGGCAGGGUGAGUCGACCCCUAAGGCGAGGCUGAAAAGCGUAGUCGAUGGGAAACAGGUUAAUAUUCCUGUACUUGGUGUUACUGCGAAGGGGGGACGGAGAAGGCUAGGCUAGCCGGGCGACGGUUGUCCCGGUUUAAGCGUGUAGGGGGUGUGACCUGGUAAAUCCGGUUACAUAUCAACCCUGAGGCGUGAUGACGAUGCACUACGGUGCAGAAGUAGUUGAUGCCCUGCUUCCAGGAAAAGCCUCUAAGCUCCAGGUAACAUUAAAUCGUACCCCAAACCGACACAGGUGGUCAGGUAGAGAAUACCAAGGCGCUUGAGAGAACUCGGGUGAAGGAACUAGGCAAAAUGGUGCCGUAACUUCGGGAGAAGGCACGCUGGCAUGUAGGUGAAGUCCCUUGCGGAUGGAGCUGAAGCCAGUCGAAGAUACCAGCUGGCUGCAACUGUUUAAUAAAAACACAGCACUGUGCAAACACGAAAGUGGACGUAUACGGUGUGACGCCUGCCCGGUGCUGGAAGGUUAAUUGAUGGGGUCAGCCGCAAGGCGAAGCUCUUGAUCGAAGCCCCAGUAAACGGCGGCCGUAACUAUAACGGUCCUAAGGUAGCGAAAUUCCUUGUCGGGUAAGUUCCGACCUGCACGAAUGGCGUAAUGAUGGCCAGGCUGUCUCCACCCGAGACUCAGUGAAAUUGAACUCGCUGUGAAGAUGCAGUGUACCCGCGGCAAGACGGAAAGACCCCGUGAACCUUUACUAUAGCUUGACACUGAACAUUGAGCCUUGAUGUGUAGGAUAGGUGGGAGGCUUUGAAGCGUGGACGCCAGUCUGCGUGGAGCCAUCCUUGAAAUACCACCCUUUAAUGUUUGAUGUUCUAACUCGGCCCCAUAAUCUGGGGUGAGGACAGUGUCUGGUGGGUAGUUUGACUGGGGCGGUCUCCUCCCAAAGAGUAACGGAGGAGCACGAAGGUUAGCUAAUCACGGUCGGACAUCGUGAGGUUAGUGCAAAGGCAUAAGCUAGCUUGACUGCGAGAGUGACGGCUCGAGCAGGUACGAAAGUAGGUCUUAGUGAUCCGGUGGUUCUGAAUGGAAGGGCCAUCGCUCAACGGAUAAAAGGUACUCCGGGGAUAACAGGCUGAUACCGCCCAAGAGUUCAUAUCGACGGCGGUGUUUGGCACCUCGAUGUCGGCUCAUCACAUCCUGGGGCUGAAGUAGGUCCCAAGGGUAUGGCUGUUCGCCAUUUAAAGUGGUACGCGAGCUGGGUUUAGAACGUCGUGAGACAGUUCGGUCCCUAUCUGCCGUGGGCGUUGGAAGAUUGAGAGGGGUUGCUCCUAGUACGAGAGGACCGGAGUGAACGCACCACUGGUGUUCGGGUUGUCAUGCCAAUGGCAUUGCCCGGUAGCUAAGUGCGGAAAAGAUAAGCGCUGAAAGCAUCUAAGCGCGAAACUUGCCUCAAGAUGAGUCUUCCCUGGGCCUUUAAGGCCCCUGAAGGAACGUUUAAGACUAAGACGUUGAUAGGCUGGGUGUGUAAGUGCAGCGAUGCAUUGAGCUAACCAGUACUAAUGAUCCGUGAGGCUUAACCUU